This is a long non-coding RNA of Vidua chalybeata, 792 nucleotides long. RefSeq lists it as uncharacterized. The record is from RefSeq and is a predicted model, not a curated record. The transcript has 5 exons. Lineage: Eukaryota; Metazoa; Chordata; Aves; Passeriformes; Viduidae.
GUCACAAAGACUUUCACUGAUCCUUGCUAGUGACAGAGCGGCAACGCUGCUGCUCAUCGGGGCAACUUGUCUAAAUUUCAGUAGUGCAGUGUUAGAGCACCUACAGCAUCUCUAGGGCACUGGCAGAAAAAUGGCCUGACACAACAAGCACCUCCAGUUUUUCCAGAGACUCAAGUCUUAAAUGGUUUUGAAGGGGCAACCCCAAUCUCACAUACAGACCUCUACACAGGAAUGGGCUGUCAUCUCUUUUUUCCUUACAGGGAGGCAGCUUCCAGAAGAACAAUUUCCUCCAGCGCAACACAGUUGGGGUGACUGGUUAUGGAGUGGACGUAGCAGUUCAAUAACCCCACCUCCUUUCCCAGCACGCUCUGCACCUCGUAAGUCUGCAGAAAUAAAAGCAUGCACCAGCUCAGUCCCUCCUGUUUAAUGAUCUGACCGGCAUUUAACCCACGAGUUGUGCCUGAGCGAAUUUGCAGAGGCUGUGUUCUGUGUGGAGGAGAGGGAUGCAAGGCUGGCAUGCCUGCACUAAGAGGAUAACACAAGAACUGGCCUUGCCUACAACAAGCCUCUGACUGUGCCCCUGCCUUCAUCUGUGCUGUGCUUCUGUCCAGCUAUGUGAUACCCAUGGCGUUGCCUGGUUCAAGGUUUUAUCAGUUCAUCAGCAAUAAAAAUACUACGUCUUAGCUCUAGGAAGGAGCAAAGUGCAGCCUGUGCCUGCAGGAAUCAUUGCAUCACCUAUUGCUGUUAUGGCUACAUCUACAAAACACCUGGAGUGCUCUGGAGCAUGCUGAC